GUGACUGCGUACCUUUUGUAUAAUGGGUCAGCGACUUAUAUUCUGUAGCAAGGUUAACCGUAUAGGGGAGCCGGAGGGAAACCGAGUCUUAAUUGGGCGUUAAGUUGCAGGGUAUAGACCCGAAACCCGGUGAUCUAGCCAUGGGCAGGUUGAAGGUUGGGUAACACUAACUGGAGGACCGAACCGACUAAUGUUGAAAAAUUAGCGGAUGACCUGUGGCUGGGGGUGAAAGGCCAAUCAAACCGGGAGAUAGCUGGUUCUCCCCGAAAGCUAUUUAGGUAGCGCCUCGUGAAUUCAUCUCCGGGGGUAGAGCACUGUUUCGGCUAGGGGGCCAUCCCGGCUUACCAACCCGAUGCAAACUGCGAAUACCGGAGAAUGUUAUCACGGGAGACACACGGCGGGUGCUAACGUCCGUCGUGAAGAGGGAAACAACCCAGACCGCCAGCUAAGGUCCCAAAGUCAUGGUUAAGUGGGAAACGAUGUGGGAAGGCCCAGACAGCCAGGAUGUUGGCUUAGAAGCAGCCAUCAUUUAAAGAAAGCGUAAUAGCUCACUGGUCGAGUCGGCCUGCGCGGAAGAUGUAACGGGGCUAAACCAUGCACCGAAGCUGCGGCAGCGAACGUAUCACCCAAGACAACUUUACGGAGUUGACGAUUGACGGAGCGAAGCGACGUCAAAGCGUUCAUUAAAGUCGAGUUGGCUUAGGGAUACGUUCGUUGGGUAGGGGAGCGUUCUGUAAGCCUGUGAAGGUGUGUCGUGAGGCAUGCUGGAGGUAUCAGAAGUGCGAAUGCUGACAUAAGUAACGAUAAAGCGGGUGAAAAGCCCGCUCGCCGGAAGACCAAGGGUUCCUGUCCAACGUUAAUCGGGGCAGGGUGAGUCGACCCCUAAGGCGAGGCCGAAAGGCGUAGUCGAUGGGAAACGGGUUAAUAUUCCCGUACUUGGUGUUACUGCGAAGGGGGGACGGAGAAGGCUAUGUUGGCCGGGCGACGGUUGUCCCGGUUUAAGCGUGUAGGUGUGUGUUCCAGGUAAAUCCGGUUCACUUUAACACUGAGGCGUGACGACGAGGCACUACGGUGCUGAAGCAACAAAUGCCCUGCUUCCAGGAAAAGCCUCUAAGCAUCAGGUAACACGAAAUCGUACCCCAAACCGACACAGGUGGUCAGGUAGAGAAUACCAAGGCGCUUGAGAGAACUCGGGUGAAGGAACUAGGCAAAAUGGUGCCGUAACUUCGGGAGAAGGCACGCUGACACGUAGGUGAAGUGAUUUACUCAUGGAGCUGAAGUCAGUCGAAGAUACCAGCUGGCUGCAACUGUUUAUUAAAAACACAGCACUGUGCAAACACGAAAGUGGACGUAUACGGUGUGACGCCUGCCCGGUGCCGGAAGGUUAAUUGAUGGGGUCAGCGCAAGCGAAGCUCCUGAUCGAAGCCCCGGUAAACGGCGGCCGUAACUAUAACGGUCCUAAGGUAGCGAAAUUCCUUGUCGGGUAAGUUCCGACCUGCACGAAUGGCGUAAUGAUGGCCAGGCUGUCUCCACCCGAGACUCAGUGAAAUUGAACUCGCUGUGAAGAUGCAGUGUACCCGCGGCAAGACGGAAAGACCCCGUGAACCUUUACUAUAGCUUGACACUGAACAUUGAGCCUUGAUGUGUAGGAUAGGUGGGAGGCUUUGAAGUGUGGACGCCAGUCUGCAUGGAGCCGACCUUGAAAUACCACCCUUUAAUGUUUGAUGUUCUAACGUGGACCCGUAAUCCGGGUUGCGGACAGUGUCUGGUGGGUAGUUUGACUGGGGCGGUCUCCUNGGGGGCCAUCCCGGCUUACCAACCCGAUGCAAACUGCGAAUACCGGAGAAUGUUAUCACGGGAGACACACGGCGGGUGCUAACGUCCGUCGUGAAGAGGGAAACAACCCAGACCGCCAGCUAAGGUCCCAAAGUCAUGGUUAAGUGGGAAACGAUGUGGGAAGGCCCAGACAGCCAGGAUGUUGGCUUAGAAGCAGCCAUCAUUUAAAGAAAGCGUAAUAGCUCACUGGUCGAGUCGGCCUGCGCGGAAGAUGUAACGGGGCUAAACCAUGCACCGAAGCUGCGGCAGCGAACGUAUCACCCAAGACAACUUUACGGAGUUGACGAUUGACGGAGCGAAGCGACGUCAAAGCGUUCAUUAAAGUCGAGUUGGCUUAGGGAUACGUUCGUUGGGUAGGGGAGCGUUCUGUAAGCCUGUGAAGGUGUGUCGUGAGGCAUGCUGGAGGUAUCAGAAGUGCGAAUGCUGACAUAAGUAACGAUAAAGCGGGUGAAAAGCCCGCUCGCCGGAAGACCAAGGGUUCCUGUCCAACGUUAAUCGGGGCAGGGUGAGUCGACCCCUAAGGCGAGGCCGAAAGGCGUAGUCGAUGGGAAACGGGUUAAUAUUCCCGUACUUGGUGUUACUGCGAAGGGGGGACGGAGAAGGCUAUGUUGGCCGGGCGACGGUUGUCCCGGUUUAAGCGUGUAGGUGUGUGUUCCAGGUAAAUCCGGUUCACUUUAACACUGAGGCGUGAUGACGAGGCACUACGGUGCUGAAGCAACAAAUGCCCUGCUUCCAGGAAAAGCCUCUAAGCAUCAGGUAACAUCAAAUCGUACCCCAAACCGACACAGGUGGUCAGGUAGAGAAUACCAAGGCGCUUGAGAGAACUCGGGUGAAGGAACUAGGCAAAAUGGUGCCGUAACUUCGGGAGAAGGCACGCUGACACGUAGGUGAAGUGAUUUACUCAUGGAGCUGAAGUCAGUCGAAGAUACCAGCUGGCUGCAACUGUUUAUUAAAAACACAGCACUGUGCAAACACGAAAGUGGACGUAUACGGUGUGACGCCUGCCCGGUGCCGGAAGGUUAAUUGAUGGGGUCAGCGCAAGCGAAGCUCCUGAUCGAAGCCCCGGUAAACGGCGGCCGUAACUAUAACGGUCCUAAGGUAGCGAAAUUCCUUGUCGGGUAAGUUCCGACCUGCACGAAUGGCGUAAUGAUGGCCAGGCUGUCUCCACCCGAGACUCAGUGAAAUUGAACUCGCUGUGAAGAUGCAGUGUACCCGCGGCAAGACGGAAAGACCCCGUGAACCUUUACUAUAGCUUGACACUGAACAUUGAGCCUUGAUGUGUAGGAUAGGUGGGAGGCUUUGAAGUGUGGACGCCAGUCUGCAUGGAGCCGACCUUGAAAUACCACCCUUUAAUGUUUGAUGUUCUAACGUGGACCCGUAAUCCGGGUUGCGGACAGUGUCUGGUGGGUAGUUUGACUGGGGCGGUCUCCUCCUAAAGAGUAACGGAGGAGCACGAAGGUUGGCUAAUCCUGGUCGGACAUCAGGAGGUUAGUGCAAUGGCAUAAGCCAGCUUGACUGCGAGCGUGACGGCGCGAGCAGGUGCGAAAGCAGGUCAUAGUGAUCCGGUGGUUCUGAAUGGAAGGGCCAUCGCUCAACGGAUAAAAGGUACUCCGGGGAUAACAGGCUGAUACCGCCCAAGAGUUCAUAUCGACGGCGGUGUUUGGCACCUCGAUGUCGGCUCAUCACAUCCUGGGGCUGAAGUAGGUCCCAAGGGUAUGGCUGUUCGCCAUUUAAAGUGGUACGCGAGCUGGGUUUAGAACGUCGUGAGACAGUUCGGUCCCUAUCUGCCGUGGGCGCUGGAGAACUGAGGGGGGCUGCUCCUAGUACGAGAGGACCGGAGUGGACGCAUCACUGGUGUUCGGGUUGUCAUGCCAAUGGCACUGCCCGGUAGCUAAAUGCGGAAGAGAUAAGUGCUGAAAGCAUCUAAGCACGAAACUUGCCCCGAGAUGAGUUCUCCCUGAGACUUAGAGUCUCCUGAAGGAACGUUGAAGACGACGACGUUGAUAGGCCGGGUGUGUAAGCGCAGCGAUGCGUUGAGCUAACCGGUACUAAUGAACCGUGAGGCUUAACCUU
Molecule: ribosomal RNA, 3909 nt
Filed under: Salmonella enterica subsp. enterica serovar Typhimurium str. DT104
Lineage: Bacteria; Pseudomonadati; Pseudomonadota; Gammaproteobacteria; Enterobacterales; Enterobacteriaceae
Description: bacterial LSU rRNA
Rfam family: Bacterial large subunit ribosomal RNA
Source: RNAcentral